GGCCUGUUCGUAUAGUGGUUAGUACGUCGGUUUUUCAUACCGGAAACCCGAGUUCGAUUCUCGGAUGGGUCA
Molecule: non-coding RNA, 72 nt
Organism: Glomus cerebriforme
Lineage: Eukaryota; Fungi; Glomeromycota; Glomeromycetes; Glomerales; Glomeraceae
Source: the annotation of a GenBank genome assembly